This 904-nucleotide ribosomal RNA is filed under the name Exophiala tremulae. RNAcentral's name for it is "eukaryotic LSU rRNA". It matches the Rfam family "Eukaryotic large subunit ribosomal RNA", at positions 21 to 939 of the family's 3401-position model. Lineage: Eukaryota; Fungi; Ascomycota; Eurotiomycetes; Chaetothyriales; Herpotrichiellaceae. The record is from RNAcentral.
AUACCCGCUGAACUUAAGCAUAUCAAUAAGCGGAGGAAAAGAAACCAACAGGGAUUGCCUCAGUAACGGCGAGUGAAGCGGCAACAGCUCAAAUUUGAAAUCUGGCCUCUUUGGGGUCCGAGUUGUAAUUUGUAGAGGAUGUUUCGGGUACCGCCUCGGUUUAAAUUUCUUGGAACAGAAUGUCAAAGAGGGUGAGAAUCCCGUCUUGGACCGGCGGUAGGGCCCAUGUGAAACUCCUUCGACGAGUCGAGUUGUUUGGGAAUGCAGCUCAAAAUGGGUGGUAAAUUUCAUCUAAAGCUAAAUAUUGGCCAGAGACCGAUAGCGCACAAGUAGAGUGAUCGAAAGAUGAAAAGCACUUUGAAAAGAGAGUUAAACAGUAUGUGAAAUUGUUGAAAGGGAAGCGCUUACAACCAGACUUGCGCGCGGCGGUUCCCCCUUCCUUUUGGUUGGGCUACUCCGUCGUGUCCAGGCCAACAUCGGUUCUGGGGGUCGGUUAAAGACCCUGGGAAUGUACCUACCCUUCGGGCGUAGACUUAUAGCUCAGGGUGUCAUGCGACCUCCCGGGACCGAGGAACGCGCUUCGGCUCGGAUGUUGGCGUAAUGGUUGUCAGCGACCCGUCUUGAAACACGGACCAAGGAGUCUAACAUCUAUGCGAGUGUUUGGGUGUCAAACCCGGAACGCGAAAUGAAAGUGAACGGAGGUAGGAAGCCGUGAGGCUGCACUAUCGACCGAUCCUGAUGUCUUCGGAUGGAUUUGAGUAAGAGCAUAGCUGUUGGGACCCGAAAGAUGGUGAACUAUGCCUGAAUAGGGUGAAGCCAGAGGAAACUCUGGUGGAGGCUCGCAGCGGUUCUGACGUGCAAAUCGAUCGUCAAAUUUGGGUAUAGGGGCGAAAGACUAAUCGAA